GGGAUUCCAGACCAAUUUCAGAAGCAGGUUCCUCCAAUCUCUUCCUCUCAGCUGCUUGAAAAUCAAUCAUUACCUGAAUGAGAGCCAAAGCGAUCCUGUAUAACAUGACAUCAGUGCUAUUUUCUCGCACAAUUUGCACCUGCUCCCCCAGAAUCCUAAAUAAGUCAACGGCGGCAGGUGUAUAUAGUUUCCCAUCAUCAGUCUUUUUAGGUGGCUGUACUUUGUCUGCCUCUAGGAUAUUCAAGUACCAUUUCUUUGUUGUAGCUUGC
This 269-nucleotide unclassified non-coding RNA is filed under the name Hevea brasiliensis (rubber tree). The record is from RNAcentral. Lineage: Eukaryota; Viridiplantae; Streptophyta; Magnoliopsida; Malpighiales; Euphorbiaceae.